This 204-nucleotide long non-coding RNA is filed under the name Elaeis guineensis (African oil palm). Its description in RNAcentral is "long non-coding RNA (EGUI_LNC053400)". Lineage: Eukaryota; Viridiplantae; Streptophyta; Magnoliopsida; Arecales; Arecaceae. The record is from RNAcentral.
GGGGUGCGUCGGAGGAAUUUGAUUCAUUCAGAUUUUUAUUUUUUUUUUAUUUCUAACAUCCUCUCUUUAUUACUAAUUAGUCUAUUCCUUCUCUUAUUUGGAUAAGUUCAAAAAUAGUAAGAACAAGUUCAAUUUUAGGACAAGAGCCUAGCAAGAGAAUUAAGGAAGACAAUGAGAGAAGAAAGGUAGGGAUUGGAAGGCUAG